RNAcentral lists this ribosomal RNA (497 nucleotides) under uncultured bacterium. RNAcentral describes it as "partial 16S ribosomal RNA". It matches the Rfam family "Bacterial small subunit ribosomal RNA", at positions 28 to 507 of the family's 1533-position model. The record is from RNAcentral.
GAUGAACGCUGGCGGCGUGCCUAAUACAUGCAAGUAGAACGCUGAAGCUUGGUGCUUGCACCGAGCGGAUGAGUUGCGAACGGGUGAGUAACGCGUAGGUAACCUGCCUCUUAGCGGGGGAUAACUAUUGGAAACGAUAGCUAAUACCGCAUAAAAGUCGAUAUCGCAUGAUAUUGAUUUGAAAGGUGCAAAUGCAUCACUAAGAGAUGGACCUGCGUUGUAUUAGCUAGUUGGUGAGGUAACGGCUCACCAAGGCGACGAUACAUAGCCGACCUGAGAGGGUGAUCGGCCACACUGGGACUGAGACACGGCCCAGACUCCUACGGGAGGCAGCAGUAGGGAAUCUUCGGCAAUGGGGGUAACCCUGACCGAGCAACGCCGCGUGAGUGAAGAAGGGUUUCGGAUCGUAAAGCUCUGUUGUAAGAGAAGAACGAGUGUGAGAGUGGAAAGUUCACACUGUGACGGUAACUUACCAGAAAGGGACGGCUAACUACGUG